This 253-nucleotide ribosomal RNA is filed under the name uncultured bacterium. RNAcentral describes it as "partial 16S ribosomal RNA". It matches the Rfam family "Bacterial small subunit ribosomal RNA", at positions 524 to 776 of the family's 1533-position model. The record is from RNAcentral.
UACAGAGGGUGCGAGCGUUAAUCGGAAUUACUGGGCGUAAAGGGCUCGUAGGCGGCCAACUAAGUCAGACGUGAAAUCCCCAGGCUCAACCUGGGAACUGCGUCUGAUACUGGAUGGCUUGAAUCCGGGAGAGGGAUGCAGAAUUCCAGGUGUAGCGGUGAAAUGCGUAGAUAUCUGGAGGAAUACCGGUGGCGAAGGCGACUCACUGGACACAUAUUGACGCUGAGGUGCGAAAGCGUGGGGAGCAAACAGG